This is a long non-coding RNA of Eriocheir sinensis (Chinese mitten crab), 724 nucleotides long. RefSeq lists it as uncharacterized. The transcript has 3 exons. NCBI's taxonomy places the organism in Eukaryota, Metazoa, Arthropoda, Malacostraca, Decapoda, Varunidae. The record is from RefSeq and is a predicted model, not a curated record.
CCCGGGUCUCCGUCGCUGCUCACGGCUGAUACCCGUGGCUGUGGCGGCGGCGGCAGAGGCAUCCCUACAACCGCCCCGAGUUUUGCAUCGCUCUGCAUAGGAACAGCUUUCAGUCGCCCAUUGAGAAGCUAAAAGGCGCAGACUGGAGAGACGGCAUCCACCAUUAAAGACUCAUUGUUAGCAGCGGGAUUAGUCUUCAUUUGGUCAAAAGAGCAAUGGUGUGCCACUUCUGCAACUUUUGCAUCGUCCACCUCAAUCUCCAGGAAGGCUGCCACCUGCCGCACGGCUCCCGCCAGGUCCUGCAGCAAGAGGAAGAGGAUGUGCUUCUCAUUCCUCAUCUCCCAGAACUUGAGGACAUGCGGCCAAAAGGGUGAAUACAAGACUGGGAAAGUGGAAAUAAUGAGUAUAUCAGAAUGAUCAGAGUUUUAAAAUACUCAUAUAUAAAAGUCAACUGAGAUCUUCUUCCAAGUAAAAAAAAAUGCUGUAAGAGACAAGACUGAGCAGCUGCAAAUUUUUCACUCCCUAGAUUUUUUGUGUAGCAUUUGUAAUUUUAUAACUGACUAUCAUAUGGCAGAUUUUGCUCUCUAUCCAUUAAUUCCCUAAUCAGCUGCUUGAAUUGGUUAAAUGUUGUCCAAAGCUUUUAACCUAUACACAGCUGAAAAGGUCUUUUAGCCUCUUUUUCCUUAUAAUGUAUCAUCUUCUACAACAUUCAUUGAGGUAUACA